Molecule: transfer RNA, 84 nt
Filed under: bacterium
Lineage: Bacteria
Description: tRNA-Ser
Rfam family: tRNA
About the family: Transfer RNA (tRNA) molecules are approximately 80 nucleotides in length. Their secondary structure includes four short double-helical elements and three loops (D, anti-codon, and T loops).
Source: RNAcentral
GGAGAGUGGGCCGGACGGUAAGGCACAAGUUUGCUAAACUUGCACGGGGCAACUCGUGAGUGGGUUCGACUCCCACACUCUCCG